UUUUUUUUUUAUUUUAAUAUCACAUGGUUUAAAAUGUAUCAAGUUAGUAUCUUAUAAUUUUAUUUUAUUUUUCAAUUCUUCUGUUAAUAUUUUGUUAAAUUAUAUACAAAAAGAUUUUAGAUAUCUUAUAUAGAUUUAUCGAAUAUUUACUUUGGUACUAUUUAGUUUUAACUUUGUUAUUGAUUUAACGGAAAAAAAAAAUAGUAAAAUGGAUAAAUAAAAAGAGAAAAAUAAGAUCAGGGUACUAAAUUGAUACAUUUUAAAUUAUAGGGUACUAAAAUUAAAAAGUGUGAAAUCACAAAAGUGAUAUUUAAAGUUUUUUCUUUUUUUAUUUUGUUUCUUUUGUUAAAAAUAUAUGUAACUAAUUCGAGCUUUUAAGUGAUCCAAAAACAACCAACCAACCAGUCACUUUAUCAUUAAAAGUUAUAGGCCAAGUUACAGGAAUUUUUUUCCAUAAAUAUUCAUUUUUUCAUUUUUCUCUAUAAUUUUCAAAAAUUUAUAUUUUAUCUUUUAAAAUUUUAGAUAUAUUUUUAGGAGGAUACGGCGUUAAUAAAGAUAACAAAAUAACCAAAUUAUCUUCACUCUUUUAUAAAAAAAAAAUAAAUAUUUAAUAUAUUUUUGUCAUUUUAAAGAGUAUUUUCAAUAUAAAUUAUAAAAAAAGAAUGAAAUAGUGAUGUAACACUAAUGGAUAGAGUGGCUAAAUGUAACAAUUGAAAUGUUGAGAUAGUAAAAUGUACGUUUUUGAAAGUCAGAGAAAAAAAAUAAAAAAGUGGGUAUCUAUAGAGAAUUUUUUUUAUAAUUUAGCCAAAAUUUUAAUUUUACGGUCUAUAUUUAAUUUUAUUUUACUUUGUUUUAGAGGUUUAGUAGUUCUAAAAAAUUAUUAUAUGUGCUGAUGCAUUUGUGUAUUCGUAACACUUUUUUUGUUGCUCAUUUAAUUUAUCCAAUUGCUAAGUAUCUGUCAUCCAAUAAAUUAUAAUUUUUCAAUUAAAAAUUGAGCGACAUGUGAUGCAUUAAAAAAAUUAAAAUACAUAAAAUUUUUCUGUAAAUAUUUAUUUUUAUAUCUCUUUUUUCCAACUUCUAAAAAUAUUCAUUUUGCCUCCAUAAAAUUUUAGAAAUAUUUAGAGAAUUGCGACGUUAAUGGGAGAAAAAAAAAACCAAAUUAUCGUUACUUGUUGUAUAAGAAAAAAUAACUUUUUAAUAUAUUUAUGUCAUUUUUAAUAACAUUUUUAGUAUAAAUUAUAAAAAAUUAACAGAAUAGGGACAGAACCGUCAAGGUUAAAUGUAUAAAUUUAAAAUUUGAGGGAAUUAAAAUAUAGAUUUUUAAAAAUCAAGAGAAAAAAAAAGUAAGAAAACGGAUAUUCACGAAAAGAUUUUCUCUAUUUUAGCCAAAAAUAUGAUGUAUAAAUAUCUAGACACAUAGUUACUUUUAAGAAAGCAAAUUAAACUAUUUGCACGAUCAAACAAUAAAAUUAAAAUUUCUAAACAUUUUUAAAAAAUUAAAUAAAUCUUUCUCAAAUUAUCCAAAAUUUUGGUCAGCUCUAUACAUCUUCACUAGAUUUUAUUUUGGUUUAAAUAUGAUUUAUAAAGUACGCCUCACUAUAUUUUAUUUUGGUCCCCAACUCCUUUUUUUUUUUUUUUUUGCAAUUGGAUGUUUAACCUAUAAGAUCAAUUGUACUAUUUGUCCUUAACCUUUCACUGGUUUUUUUUUAUUUUCUUUUCUUUAACUUUGAUUCUUACCCUAUUCUCCAUUUUAGGGAUCUAAUAUAAAAAAAUAACAUUUUAGGGACCAAUGUUUCCAAAAAAAAGGGUAAAUAUUAGGGACCAAUGGUGUUAAUAACCCAAAAAAUUAGCCACUUUAAUUGAGAUUCUAUUCGUAUCUGUUUUUUUUUUUCUUUUUUUCUUUUUUUCUUUUUUUUUUUGUGAGUCAUUCAUGACUGUGGUUCAAAAAGUUACACUUAAUUAUCCCGCAGUUUAACUCUUUAUUUUUAUUUAACACUUUAUGGUUCAAAAAUUUAUACUUAACUAUUAUCUUGUGAUAAUUUUUUUUUUACUUCACUAUCUUAUUUGAUAGUAGAUUUUUUACAUUAAAAAAUAGAGAUAAAACUACAAAAUUAAUAAAUACAACUUUUGAACCACGGAGUAACAAAAUAAAAAAUAAGCUAAACUCAUGAGAGGCAAAUUAAAGUUUAUAAUUUUUUUUUUCAAAAAAAAAAAAACUCAGCUUAAAAUAUAAAAGCAAGCUAAACCACAUGGAAGCACAUUAAAGUUUACGGUUCUUUUUUUUAAAGAAAUAAAAAAUAAAUCAGUUAGAAAUGUGAAGUAAUUAAGUUUUAAACUUAGGACUCCGAGUAUCAACCUUGAACUCUUUUAAGUCUUUAGUCAAUUACGCUAGAUACGAUCAGUCACAUGUAUCUGCUUUUACGGACGAAAGAAUAUUAUAGCAUAAUUCAAAAUUUUGUGGGGGUUUACUGAUGUAUUGGUGCACCAGUGCAUGCAAACAAUCCAGUUUCUGCAGCUCAGCAGGGAAUAGGUGUCAGAAGAUAUUCAGCUGAGACUCUCUGACCCUUCUUUUAUCAGCUUCCUGCAGGUUGUUGUUGAUGCUCUUUAAAUUAAUUAACUGUUUAUUCCUGUAUUCUCUCCAUUACCAGAUUCUUAUGUAUAAUAAUAAAUGUGAACUUAAUAGAUCCAAGACAAAGUUGCACUUUGGGAUGGUAUUUUUAUUCUUAAAUUAUAAUUUAAGGUGGUUAAUUUCAUACAGAUUUUUAUAAAUAUAGUAAAUUACAAAUAUAUUUCUAUAAAAUUCAACUUUUAUAUGUUGUCGCUAUAAAAAUUCUAAUAUUUUUAAAUAUGUCCCUUUGGCUUGUUACCGUUAAAAUACUGUUUAUUUUAUAAAUGAAAUGAUAUUUUUGCCAUCACAAAUAUGUCCCUUCAAAAGUCCCAACUAUUAAUUAAAGAGGGGUAAAAAAAUCAAUUCACCUCAUAAACUAACUAGGAUUAAGUAUUUUACCUAUGGUUAAUUAAUCUUUUCUGACGGAUCCUAUCGGCAGGAACAUAUUUGAAAAUAUCAGGACUUUUAUAGGAAUACCAUAUGAAACUUGAAUUUUAUAGGAAUAUAUUUGUAAUUCAUUAUAUUUAUAGAAACCUGUGUAAAAUUAACCCAUAAUUUAAUGUAAACUUCUGCUUGAACAAUGUAAACUAUUGUAGUUCAGUCCCACGGUCAAAUUUAGUUAAUUACUGAAUAAUAACGCGUCGCUAAUAUAGAAAUAACAUGACUUUUUAAUCAUUGUAAUAUUAUUACCCACAAUGAUGCCGCAGCAACAUCAUGCUAUCAUUCAGUUAACUAAAUUAUAAUGCGGGUGGUGUUAAUUAUGAUAAUCAAGAAUUGACUCUGCAGUGAUUCCAGUUCUUACUACUACUACUUUAAAAUGCAGUACAAUUUCUCAUUUGGAAGUCAUAUCUAAUCCGAGAAAACUGGAUGAAUAGUAUAGUAAGUUAAUCAAAAUGCAUCAAAUAAUUAGAUAUGACUUGUAGAUAGUAAAUUUAGAUUCAUUAGGAUCAAAGUUUUGAACAGUUACAGCUCUUUAAUUAUUCAUGAUGAACCUAGUCAUCACAUAAUAAAAUGAUUGAGUAUGAUCCACCUACAUGCAUGUAGUAAAUUUAGAUUUGUUAAUAUUAUCCUGAUAAAGUAUCUAGCCAAUCUUUUUAUUAAGUUUUAAGAUAAACUUUAGAUACCACCCAUAUGGUUUCGUACCUUCUCACUUUAGUACCAUGUGGUUUUAUUUGAGUAGGGCUAGAAUACUUUUACAAGUAUCACCCAAGUGAUACUUGUGUGUUUUUAGCCAUUGGAUCUACUUUUUGAUUACUAAUAGUCCUUGGAUCAAACACUAUUCCACCUACCAUCACCUACCACCAUCAUCUCAACCUCACAUCUCUCCAUCCAAGGGCUAAAAACACACAAGUAUCACUUGGGUGAUACUUUUACAAGUAUUCUAGCUCUACUCGUUUUAUUUUUAUCUUUUCGUCAGUGUCUUCGUUAAUAUUUUAUUAAAUUAUAUAUAAAAAACUUCGGAUACUCUAUCUAGAUUUAUCGAAUAUUUACUUUGGUACCCUUUAGUUUUAACUUUGUCACUAAUUUAAUAAAAAAAAUUUAGUGAAAUCGAUAAUAAAAAGAUAAAAAUGAAACCAUAUGACACUAAGUUGAUACACUUUAAACCAUAAGAUACUAAAGUGAAAAAGUGUGAAACCACAGAAAUAGUAUUUAAAGUUUUUUCUUUUGUUAAUAAAAGGUAAGCUAGUAAUUUGGCGCAUUUUAAUUUCGUUAUCAUGUGAUUCAGAAGUUGCAUUUAAUUACUCUAAUAUUUUUAUCUCUAUUUUACCAUAAGAGUCCAUUGUUAAAUAAGACAGUAAAGUAAUAUUUUUUUAUUAACAUAUGAUGAAAUUACAGAAUAACUAAAUGUAAUUUUUUGAAUCACAAUAAAAUAUAGGAAAAUUAAAGUGUCCCACUAAAAUAAAAGGAAACUUUAUUAUAUUUGUAGAAUCAUCAUCAUCAUAAUUAAGCUUCUUAUUGGUCAAAGUAAAGAGAGAGACAAUUCAGGAACUGGAAAGUGUUGUAAUUCACUUCCAAGGAGACAUCCCCCUUGAAAAAGGCAAUUACAAUAAAUUACAAUAUUAUUAUUAUUAUUAUUAUUAUUAUUUUGUGGUUCUACAUUUUUUUAAAAAUUUUUUUUUAUCCCCAUUGCUUUGCUUUUGUUUUACUUAAGAAUGCUAAUUUUGCUCUCUACGAAAUGGGAGUUUGAAAAGUAUUAUUUUGACUUUUGGAUUAUCAAAUUUUCCCAAGGUUUAUUAAGGAAAAAAGUAUUGCACAAAUUUUGAUGCAAAAAGGGGGGCUUUUUUUUUUUUUCAUUUUUCGUGUAGUUGCUUGACUCUGGCUAGGGCCCUUAUUUGGAAAAAAAAAAAAAAAAAAAGUUAUGUUUUAUUUGUAAAUGAAAAAAUAGAAAAUAAAAAAAAUCUAUGAAAUUGACCAAAAACAAUUCAGAAAAUUACUUUUUAUGUAAACCAAAUGAAUGAAAAUUAUUUUUUAAUUAUUCCUUUCGACAGAUUAUGAGAAAUAAAUAAUGGAACGUAAAAAUUUAUUUCAACUAUGAAUUAUUUUUAGUUGAUUAUUCAUUUUUUUUCCUUAUUAAUUUAAUGUUUUAAUUUAUUUAAUUUGAGUUAGUUGAUGGUAUUUUGACUUUCAAAAUUUUUAUAUAUUUAACUAGUACACUUUAGCUUAAAUUUUAAAAUUUAAAUAUCAAUUUGAAAUAAUUCAUAAUUGAUAAAUUUUGUAUAUUUUUGCCGUAAAUUUUUAAAAUUGUACUCAGCCCUUUAACAUGGUAUUGGAAUUUUUUUUUUUUUUACCGUGACUUUUUAUUUUUUUGGGUAAACUUGAAAUAACACUCCUAUAGUUUCGUAGUAUCUCACUUUAGUAUUAUGUGGUUUAAAAUAUAUCAAUUUAGUACUCUGUGAUUUUAUUUUUUCUUUUCGUCAGUUCCUCUGUUAACUUCUCAUUAAAUCAUAUACAAAAAAAAUUCAGAUAUCCUACCUAUAUUUUAUCGAAUAUUUAUUUUAAUACUCUUUAAUUUUAACUUUAUCACUGAUUCAAUGAAAAAAAAUUAAUGAAGGGAUAACAAAAAGAGAAAAGUAAAAUCAAAUGUUACGAAAAUUAUACACUUUAAAUUACAGAAUACUAAAGUGAGAAAGUGAGAAACCACAUGGUGGUAUUUGAAAUUUUCCUUUUUUUUUUCGAUUUGGCUCAUUUAAUUUAAUUAAUUUAUUUGUUUUCCAAAUUUCUGAGGUUGUGCCACGUGCGGCAAAAUUUAGCACGUGGCAAAACGAACGUUUUCCCCGAAGCCCCUCGAAACCCCGCUCCGAGGAGGCGCAAUGCUUAAUUGCGAUUUAGGGUUUUGGAUGUGUUAUUGUUCUUCAUUGGGAUUAGGGUUUGCGAUCGGAAAGAGUGCGGAUUCCUCAGGCUUGUUGAUCCGAGGUAUGAAUUUUUGCUUACGAUGGUGGAAAAACCAAAAAAAAAAAAGGAUUUUGAUAGUGAUUGUUGAUGUUUUUUUUUUUUUUCCUUCUUUUUUUUUGCGCGCUUUUCAUCAUCGUCGUGAUCGUCGUGUGGUGUGUUCUUUGAUUCCUGAUAAAGCCGUCAUUGAAUAAAUGCGUCGAAAUCUCUCUCUCUAAAUUGCAUUUCUGAUUAUGUUAAAUUAUGUGAAACAAUCGUUGUUUGAAAUCAUGAAAUGAACUCAAAUCAAAUGAAAAUAAAUUAUGUUGUUUUUCGCUGAUAGAAUCUCCUGCUCUAAUAGGAUAUUAAAUAAUGCGAAACAAUCGUUAUACUCUAAAAAUUUAAGCCUAUAAUUUUAAUAUUUAACAGUUUAAUUUGAGUGCAUAGAGUAUUAAAGAUAAAUAUAGUGUGGCUACUGUAGAAGAUCAAAAUGUUGUUUUUUUCUCUGUGCGCAAAUAUUGUUGGUGUUCAUAUUUUGACACACAUCAUCACUGUACAACACAAAUUUAUCGGCAUGAGCAGUACAGGCAACAUGUGUUGGCUGUGCCAGAUUGUGCUGAGUGACACGACAAUCCUUGCUUUAGAAAAAUUAAAGAGAUGGUACUUUGAUGCGGCCGGUGUAAAACACUAAAUUCAUAUCAAAGAUGAGAUCUUUUGCGCCGCGGGUCGAGAUGAAAGUUUUAAUUUCGCCUUAAAGUGAUCACCUGUAUGUAUUCUUCUUCCAUUGAUCAAUGGAAUUGAUAUACAAGUAGCAUAUCUCGUCAGGUUCUGUUUACUUAAGGAGAAGAAGAGAAGAGAAAUUGGAAUGUGCUUGGUUGGUUGGUUGUGUCUGCAACAUAUCUGUAUUUGCUUUCUAAAUGAUUUGCGAGAACAAAAUAUACGCAUCAUUAGUUGUUCAGAUGAAGAACUAGCUUGGCAAUAUGCUGAAUGGUAAUUGAAGUUCCAGCUGUUCUGUAACAGGACAUACGAAUCGAUAAAUUACGCAUGAUUGCACUUUCUGUGUCUUUUUGCUGAUAUUGAUCGUUCUGCACCUCUGCCUCUAUUUACAAUAAUUCAAUUUUCAUUCAUGUGAACGGCACGAGUUAGAAGUAAAAACAAUGUAUCUGUUCUAUUACUGCCACUAUAUGUUUCGAACUUUGAAGUAGUUUCCUCUAGCAAAAACAACACUUCAUGCCACUCGGUUUAUUGAAUGGGAAAAAGGUUACACAUAUACUGUUAAAUGACUGCACAAAAGGGAAAACCAUUAACAAACUCAGCAUUUCUCGGGUUUUACGACUCAUAUCCAUGAUUCAAGGGUGUAGUUGUACUUGAAGGAGUUCACGCCGCUUAUAUGUGCCAGAAUAUCUGAGGAGUCCAGUAUACCUUCUUCUUCCUUCACUGCCACCUGAACGACACAACACUUUCUUAUUAGGGGCGAAUCAUACGCCUCACUAAAUGCAAACAUGGAUUAUAUUAAACUCUGUUGAAGAUUCACAAUGUAGGGAUACAUAUCAGUUAAGUAACUUAAUGGAGUUGAAUUUACUUUUGUAAUUUUUUGUGCUGCUUGUAAACUGUUUGAAGCUACUCUUUUCUUUUGAGUUUUCAACUUCUUCAGAAGGAUAUGACAAGAGCAGUUAUAGGACUUACUUCCUCUUCCUCAUCGAAUUCGUGAUUAUGGGAACUGGGCCUCGUUGUCUCGCAAAACUCAUCAUUCUUAGCAAAUCGCCCUCGCACGCGGGGACGGCUGUCGGCUAAAGUCUUUCUGCAAGCAUACUGCAUUUUCGUUUUCAAGAGCCAGUUAGAUGCCAUCUCUAAGCAUGAUAAAUAAUCAAAUCUAGUUGGAUUUGUUCUGUGCAUUGAUUACCUUGAUCUUUUUGCUGAAGUUCCUCUCAUUCCUCUUCUUCAUGUAUCUGUGGAUCUUCUCCUUUCUCUCUUCCACCGACAGGCGCCCGACUUUGAAGGUGGAAUCGUCCAAGCCCGAGAUCUCUGACGAAGGUGGUAAGGCCGCCGUCGAGCUUCCGCCGCACCCGCCCAUCAUAUGCUGGCCGCCCCCUCCAACAACCUAUGCAGUGAGUGAUGUUACAUAUGAUUAUGACAUAUUUGAUCGAGAUUGUGUUAGCUGUUCUGAAUUGAAAUCUUUCGAUUUAGGACAAUUUUUUGAAUUUGUUCAAUUUUCCGAUCUGAUGGUAUAUGUAUCAUGUUAUUAAGAUGCCUAAUUUUUCCCGGACAUUUGUACUUAGCUGCCAUUGUAACAUACCUGCAUGUCUCCUGAGCUAUACACCCUCUGCAUGUUAUCUUGACCUGCAUAGAUGCCCACCAUCCCUCCACACUCCAUCAUCCUUUGAUACUCUCCCACUUCCUCCACCAUCCCAUUACUAGUGCUGGUAGUAGCAGUAGUAAAAUACGCUUGGGCAUCUACUACGCCGCCGUUGGUUGCCAUCGGUCCCGGAUACAGCGCCGCCUCUAGACCCAUGUACCCUCCCACCAUCGCCGCUGCAAAGCACUCGUCGUCGAACCCUGUCGUCAGCGCUGACGCUGACGGUGGGCCCCCCAUUUGGAUCGGGAGCAUUGUGUCAUUUGAGUAGACGGCUGCGGCGGUGAUGGCGUCGUUGAGUGCUAUCUGGUUGUUGAACUGGUCCGGAUGGUGGAUGUCAAUGGUGGUGGUGGUAUAAGAGGGGGGACCCGCGAAUGGAAAGUGGAUAGAGGGGAGGAGUUCGGGCUCGGGGUCGGGAUGUUGCUCGGGGCUAAGGAGCGCGGAAAGAGUGGCAGAGUCGAGGGAGGGGAACGGGGAGAGUGCUGCGGCGGCGGCGGCAGCAGCAGAGGCCGAGGCAUCAUCGUCGUAGCAGCAAAGUGGAGUGGUGACGGAUGAUGACGAUACGUCGUCGGAAGAGCGAAGAAGUGGGUCAGAGACCGCGGCAGCGGCAGCGAAGAGGUCGCCGCCACUGCCGUCGUCGCAAAAGUCUAGGAUCUGGGCAGCAAUAGGGCUUGAGAUAUCCUCCUGCAGUUACAAAAUUCAUUAUAUUUCUUACGAAACAACAACGCAAUGAAAAUAUAGAUAUUAAGAUUCUUAUAAAAUGCAUCUAAAAUUUUUUUUUAGCUUAUUAUGCGUCUAAUGCAGCAAAAACUAGAGUUGAAUUUUGCAGUAGACAUUGACUUGUAGCUGCGUCUAAUGCAGCAAAAUUUUUUGAAUUUUGCAGUAGACAUUAACCAAUUAGAUUUUAAUUUUGGGAGAUAUAAUUAAGGCAAUGAUUUAGCAUAUUUUUUUACUUUGUCAUUGUAUCAUUUGAAAAGUAAUUUUUUUACUAUUCUAUGGUUUUAUUUUAUUUUAUCAUAAAAAGAAAUUGUUAAAUAUGUUAGCAAAAUAACAAUGGUCAUAUUUUCUAAAAACAUAAUAUUUACAAACCGUUGAGAUAGUGAAGUGAUAGAUCAUAGGUCAAUCUUAUGAUUUAUAGUGUACCACAUUGCUACCUUUUGGUUUGCAUAUUAUUAUUUUGUUAUUGACCUAAUAGUCGCUAUUCUUACAGUGAAAUAAAAUUAAACUAUGGAAUAAUAAAAAUAACACUUUUCAAACUAUACCAUGUCAAAAUAAAAAUAUACUAAAUCACAAAAAUCUAAUUAAAGUUAUUGCUGAAGUGGGUUACAGUUGGGAAUGCAAACAAGACCAAUUCGGAGCAGAAAGUUUCCCCGGACUUCUCAUCUUGUUUUCUUGGUGGGUAAGGCCAGACUCGUGACGAAUUAAUUUUUAUUCUAUUUUUAUCCUACUUUAUCACUUCAUUUGGGGUGUGAGCAAGAAUUUAAGUGCAGUGGCAUGGGGUCGUGCCGGAAAUUUACUGGCACGGUACGGUACGGUACGUAUCGGGCCGUGCCGAAGUGUGUCAGUUAUUAAAAAAAUUAUGUAUGCCAACAUAUAAUUUCAUGAAAUAUUUAUUUUUUUAGACAAAAAAAUGUUAUAAUUGUUUAUUAUCUAUUUUUAUCAAAUCUUUUAAACUUUAUUCAGAAAAUUACUUACAAAUUUUAAAAAUAGAAAAUUUUGAACUAUGUCAUGAGCACGGGAGUUGUAUCAUGCUGAUAUUUUGUUGCCAUGGUACUGCACGGUAGAUACAACCUGCGCCGAUGGGCACUUAAAUUCUUAGAUGUGAGUGAAUUUUUGAUGAAUUUUUGACGAAUCAAGAGUUUUUCGUCUUCCGCUCUAUUCUUUUAGUUGACCAGAAGAGAUUUGAAACAUUUUCUUUUUAUAACUUUUUAUUUUUAAUCUCCAUUUACCGCUUAUCGUUUUGUUCGAAACAGACUCAGAAAGAAGCUUGAUCAACUCAAAUCUAUUUGGAUCUCUAAUUAGACUUAAAAGUGAGCACCUAUACUUUGAUACGUGCCACAAAGCACAAAUAUUCCCCAAAUUUACCCGGGUCUUGUCUCAAGGAUAGGAUAAAAGGAUUUGGUGCCCCUUUUUUCUCCGUACCAUGGUUCGUAUAUUGUUAUUAUAUUAUAAUAAUAAUACUACUACUAUAUUGGUCUCCACGUGAAUAGAAGUGUUACCAAAGUGUCCCUUCCUCCUAUAUAUAUCAACUAAGAUUAAGAUUAAUUGUAUAAGAUAAUAAUAUUUUACUUUUUAUUUUUUCUCUUACUCUAAAAUAUAGAAUUAUAUUUUUGUGUAGCUGGUUAGAGUAACCAAAAAAGGAAAAGAAAAAAAAAACAACAUAAUAUGAGCCUGUUGAGAAGUUUAAUAUGUAGUGAUCACAAUCAAUCAUAAUUUUUCUUUUCAGAAAAAAAUGAAUAAAUUUUUUGUAAAAAAAUUAUGAUGGAAUGGAUAAAUUUCAAGAGAAUAAUUUGAUUAGUUGGAGGGACACCAUGUCAGUGACGUGACAGCUGUAUUUUUAGACAUUUUCGUUGACAAAAAAUGAUAAAGUUAGAGUUUCUGCUGCAUCGAAAGACAGAAUGAAAUUCUCAAUGUCGAAAAUAGAAACUUAAAUUUAAGGCUUAUGAUUUUGCUGUAAAAAUUUUGUUGGUAAUAUUCCAAUUAUGGUGCAUAAUUCUAGUUGGGAAGAGAAAAAUUAAUGUUGCCUUAAGAUAAUGCAUUCAAACUCCCAAGCAUGUAUGUAAUUGGUGAAGAAGCUUUGUUAAUUUGAUUAAGUAAACAAUAAAUGGGUAGGAAAAAGAAAAUGUACGUAGUUAAUUAACUUGCGAAUCGCUAUCGAUUCAAAAAUGUCGCUACAAAAAAAGAAAAGUCUAUAAUUCUGUGCAUGCAUGCAAAUUGAACGAAGAUUAAAAGAAGAAAAUGGAAAUGAAAAUGAAAAGCGAAAACAAGAAGAAAAAUUAUGGGUUAGGGAGAAUUACGUACGAUUAAGAGGCUCUCCGAUGGCGGUUGGAUAAGAUCCUCCAACAUUCUCUCCUCCGGAACAAGCUCCUUCGAAAAUGUAAUGAAUAAAUAGCAACAACAGCAACAAUUAAAAGAAAAAAGAAAAAAAAGAAAACAAAAAUUAUACACCCUCUCGCUCCAAAUAUCGAUCACUCAAAAUGAAUCCUUUCGAAUUAAAAUGAGAUAAAAAAAUCUACACAAAAAAUGGUGGUUUAGGAAUCAAAUGAUCUCUCUCUCUCUCUCUCUCUCUAAUCCACAGCGAAGAACAGCGUGGAAUAUUUAUAGAGAGAGAAUAACAGAGUCGAGAGAGUUACGCGGGGGAGAUAGAGAGUUGGCUUUACUAUUUAUGGACAAAUUUUCCCCGCACCCGGUUCAUCCGUACACGCAUGGACCACCAUAUAUCGGUUUUCUAUGUAAAAAAAAUGCGUAAAUUGCGGAUCCACGCCAUCAAAUUAUUAUAAGAUGCGUAAAACUUCGAUUCUCAAAUUUUAAUUUACUGUAAUUUUUUAGUUCACUUGUUGAAAAUUAAUCGCCUAAUCUCAUAUAAGAAUUUAUAACGUUGGAGCUAAAAAUUAUAAUAUAUAUUUAUAAUUUAAGGAAUAAAAGUGUUAUUUAGCCAUUUAAAAAUUUACCUACCACCGUUUUGAAUUGAGUUUGACUAAAAACGUUCUAAAUAAAUAAAGAUGAGGGUGCAAUUCUCAAAUUAGCUAUAGUUGAGGGGCUUCGGAGACAUUUCUACGGUAGACGUACGGUGCAGGUACGUAGGCGGUGCACCGUGCUCAGGUAGAAUACGUACGGGGUCGGUCCGUUAGAGGACGAGAUAACGGACGUUAGCGUACGAGCCAGACAAGGGGCGGGAAAGGCGGAUGUUUUUUGGGCCGUUUGGGUUCCGUACGGUGUGACGGUCACGCCGUCAAAUCCGUUCGGGGCUCCGACCCGGUCGGGAGUCCCCCCCCGCGACCCGGCCACCCCGUAACCUCGGGGUGGGGCCCACGCUACGCGAGCACCUCGACACGUGGCGCUUCCUCGUUGGCUCUGCGAUUUUUGGCCCCAGAAGAUAAAAGGAAAAAAUUAAAAGAAAAAAAUCCCGGUGUCUGCUCCGGUUUGGCGAUGGCGCCUCCGAUGGGUCCCACACGAGCGCCACGUCAGCAUGAUUAGAUAAAAUAGCAUAGUAGUACCUUGACAUUUGUCAAUUUUCAUUUUAGUCCUUAAAUUUUCUCAUGCUUUACCCUAUCCUUUGCAUAUUUGUCGGCUCUGUGUCCGCAUCUUAUUUUAAAGAUAAAAAUAUAUAGAACUUAUAGUCAGAGCUAUAGUUCAUUUUGAUUUGAUGAUUCUUAUAGUAAAAAAAAAAAAAAAAACUUAGGUUCGUCGCUUAUUUUAAUAAACUUAUAGCAGUAUAAAUUAUACAAAAUAUGCUAAUAAAAUCUGUAAAGAUAAACGAUGUGAGAUUAUGAGCUGAUAAAAUAAUACCGAAACACUUUUAAGAGUUUGUGAUUUGGAAUGCGAAACUUAAAAGAGUCGAGGAUUAAACUAAAACUUAGUCAAAGGUUUAAGAUUAGUAUAUGUGUCAUAAUUAGGGCAAAUGAGGAAGUGCAAGGAGUUGACUUUAGCUGGAAUUUUGAAUCCAUGUUUAAAAAGGUGUUAAUUAGUUUCUUACUAGAUUUAGUUACAACAAACCAGGGCUAAUAAGUUAAUUAAGUGCUAUAAAUAAAUAAAUAAAUAGAGGGGACAUGGUGACUAAUUUUGAGCUUCAUGAGUUUUACUAUAAAAUGAUAGUGUGGGUUUGCUUUAAUUGGGUGUUUAGUAAUAAUUAGUUAAUGCUAUUACGCGAAGAGCAGUGUUUCUGGUUCCCCCGGAAAUUAAGUCCCCCAACUCCCAAGUGCAGUUUGAUGACUCAAAUUUGAAUGUAGCAAAAGAGUUAACAGUUUCUCACUGUAAAAAAAGUAGAAACUAUGUUAAUUUUUUGCGAACCAUUCUAGUGUUGGGUUAUGUAAAAUCAUGUUCCGAGUCGAUAUGCAGAGUUUAAGUCUGAUUAGAUCUAAUCUUAUUUCAAAAAAUUAGACUUUAAAGAGUAUUUCUAAAAGGAUAUUGAUGACUGCACGUAAAUCUGACUUGGAUGGAAGGCGAAAAUUAUUUUCUACUAGAAUUAAAAUUUUAGGGUUAUAUAAACUCUUAUAAUUAAUCUUUUAAAUAAUGAGCUUCAUUGAAAAUACCCUAUUUGAGAGGAAAAUGUGAAGAGCUCCUGAGAGAGAAUUUCUUACAAUCCAAUCUACUCCUUUGUAUUUUUAUGCCAUGAAUUAAUCGAACAAACAAUUGAGGUGGUCUUGCUCAUGGACGUAGGUCGACUUAUGGUUGUAAAUCUUAUGUUUUUUGUGUUCUCUUUUUUUUUUAUUGCUUUGUUAUCCUCGUACUUAUUUUUUCUACGAUCAUUCUUGUUUCUUACGUCUACGAAAUAUUCUAUUUUUUCUGUACUCGUGUGCUGUAUGAGUUUGAGGCGUGCUCUGUAAUCUCACAACCAGUUCCUUCAUCUAGUACUACUUUUUUGAAUAAAAAAGAUAUUAUAAAAGUGAUGACAAAAGAAGCACUUUUAGAACUUUUUUUUAAAUUUUUUUUUCUAUUUUCUUAAAGCAGUUGUGAAGCUUAAAAUAAAAAAAAAUGCUAAGCUGCGUGAUCAUGACAACAGCAAGGUGCUAAACCAAAAUAAAUUAUUAUUCUCUAAUAAUUAAUUCAUAGUAAUAAUAAUAAUAAAACGUGUAUUAAUUCUCAAAGACAACCUUAAUUAGUGACAGAGACAAGUUAAGAUGGAAUAGAAUCUGGUCGGCCUCGUUCGUAGGACUAUUUCAUGUCGUCCGUACGGGGAAUCAAGUCAACUUUUUUUUUUUUUUUUUUUAGGUGGAAAAAAAUUUGCGAUAUUUUGUCUAAAUUGCGCCAUAUUUUUACGUAAUAUUUUGAGUUUAGAAGUUUCCAUUUGGUACUUAGCAUAUUAUUUUUAAAAAAAAUUUACUUUGUUAGUUUAUAAAAUAUUUUAGCAUUUAAAAAGAAAUACUUUGUUAGUAUAUAAGGGUUAAAUACCAAAAUCAAGAUUUUGAAAGUUUCUUUUUCUAUUUCAAAAUACUCAAACUUUGUACACUUUUUAUCAUUCUUUUAAAUCUAUGGUAUUUGAAUCGAGAGUGUUAAUCAAUUAUUUUAAAAUUACGUGUUGAUAGAAAUAACACAUCCAUCGAAUUUAAGAACUCAACCACAUAACUCACGGGCAUUGACUUGAUUCAGUCCACUUGAACCUUAGGUCUAUUGUUGUGUCUCUUAGCGUUGGAUCUGUUAUAGACCGCAACUCCAUUUAACUUAUUAUUUUUUUGGAUGUAUUGUCACGUGGCAGAAAAUCGAACCUAUUUUAGUCAAUAGUAAAUAACCAACACAGUUUAUCAGUAAUACGAAUAAUUUUCACUAUAGAGUUAGAAGUUGCAACGAUUUUUACAAUAUGAGAGAGCGAGCUAGUAUGUUUCAGUAACUAAUACACAAAUAUCGCAAGGGUUACAAUAAAGCAAACUAAUUCCAAAACCUAGAUCAAAAUUUGACCACAUGAUGAUCUAGUUUCCAAGGCAAAACAACUUAACAAAAGUUGAUACCUCAACACUAAAAAAAAACCUUUUCCUUUUGACUCUAUUAUUAUGAAGCCUUGAACCCUAAGCUAGGAGGACAAAGUGUGGAGUUCAAAAACAAGGUUAUAUACCCACCAAAAUGGAACUAAUGCCCAUCAAUCCCUUACAAAGGCCUAAAAACACUGUCCCAAAGCUGUUUUUUGUCCAACUCCACAAAUUUUAGAUCCCCCCUAUAGCCCUAGACCCCCAAUCAAUGCCAAUUCCCUAUUGACUAAGGGCCAUGUGAGUGCACCUCCCAAAGCAAGGGUUAAAAAAAAAAAAAAAAAAAAAAACCCAAGUGGUGGUGUGCUUUGCCACCCCUUUAGACCUCCAUUAGAAUCCAUGCUCUCCCCUCUAAUUUUAGCUCACAACUACAUAUAAUGCAUGGCUUGUCCCUCCACUAUUCCUAUUUGGCACUCUCUAUGUUUUCAAUCUAAAUAUUUUAGUUUCUGAAUUUUCACAUGCACUGUACUUUAAUCUCCGAUCAUCGUUUAAAAAUAUACGGAGAUCUCAUCAACUACAGAUUAAGUUUCUCGAUUUCAGUUCCUAGGCUCCGAUAAGUUUAAAAAGUCAAACUUAAUGACUGUAUUAAUUAAUUACUAAUUGUUAGCCGAUCUAGUUUUAUCUGCUAAAAAGUAAUUAAAGUUAAGGAAAAACUUCAAAUACCAUCUUUGUGGUUUCACACUUACUCACUUUAAUACCAUAUGGUUUAAAAUGUAUCAAUUUAAUAUCCUGAUGUUCCAUUUUUAUUUUUUUUUUAUCGAUAUCACUAAUUUUUUUUGUUAAAUCAGUGACAAAGUUAAAACUAAAAGGUACUAAAGUGAAUAUUCGAUAAGCCUAGGUGGAAUAUCAAAAAUUUUUUUUAUAUAAUUUAACGAAAUAUUAACGAAAAAGCUGACGAAAAGAUAAAAAUGAAACCACAUGACACUAACUUGAUAUAUUUUAAACCACGGGGUACUAAAGUGAGAAAGCGCGAAAAUACAGGGGUGGUAUUUGAAGUUUACCCUAAGGGUGCGUUUGGUUCGCGCUAUCUUUUAAAGAUUUCUAAUAAUUCAAUGGGAAUAAAAAAAUAUGACGGUGUUUUGUUAAACGCAUAGUUGGUAAUAUCGGAUUCAUUUGGGAAUAAGAUUCACCCCAAAGUACUAAUCUCAUUCCUUUGAGGGAGGAUGUGUAUCCUCAUAUUAAUGGAUUAGGGUAAUCAUAAUAUGUCUAAUCUUUUUCUUUCUUCCUAUCCGCCGGCUAAUUGAUAUUAUUUUUUUUUACACUCUAACCUUAUAUCUCUCUCUAAACUUAUUUUUCUCUCUCUAAACUAAGCUUUCUCUCUCUCUCUUUCUAAAAUUUCAACUCUUUCACUCCCUCUAAUUUCGACUAUAUUUUUCUUUCUAUUUUUUUAAUUAUGCUCUCUCUCUAACUUAUACUCUCUUUCUCUUUUUUCUAAAAAGAUGUUGACAUUUUUGGUAAUAUUAUCUAAAAUUAAUUAAUUAAAUAAAUAAAUUAAUUGUAUAUUUUUUGUAAUAUUAAAUAACAUGGUUAAUUAAUAUUACCGUACGAACCAAACACAGAAAUUCCACAUUCUUAGUAAUAGGAUGAAUAUGAAUAAGAUUCUCGAAUAUCUUUUAUUCCUAGUAAUCUUUCAUAAUGCGAACCAAACGCACCCUAAAGUUAAUAAAAUUAGUAAAAUUAAAUCAAAAGGAAGUUGAGGGAACAUGC
This 16717-nucleotide long non-coding RNA is filed under the name Ananas comosus (pineapple). RNAcentral describes it as "long non-coding RNA (ACOM_LNC012978)". The record is from RNAcentral. Lineage: Eukaryota; Viridiplantae; Streptophyta; Magnoliopsida; Poales; Bromeliaceae.